UAUGUUAAUUUGUAGUUGAAUCAGAAUAAAUCCUUGUUCAAUAGGUGUUUGGUUAACACUUGCGAGCGUUUGACCGCCCCAAGUUUGUUGGAGUACCAGAAAUGAUCCUUCCGCAGGUUCACCUACGGAAA
Molecule: unclassified non-coding RNA, 131 nt
Filed under: uncultured fungus
Lineage: Eukaryota; Fungi
Description: sequence contains ITS1
Source: RNAcentral